Molecule: ribosomal RNA, 784 nt
Filed under: uncultured bacterium
Lineage: Bacteria
Description: bacterial SSU rRNA
Rfam family: Bacterial small subunit ribosomal RNA
Source: RNAcentral
GAUGAACGCUGGCGGCGUGCUUAACACAUGCAAGUCGAACGAAACACCUUAUUUGAUUUUCUUCGGAACUGAAGAUUUGGUGAUUGAGUGGCGGACGGGUGAGUAACGCGUGGGUAACCUGCCCUGUACAGGGGGAUAACAGUCAGAAAUGACUGCUAAUACCGCAUAAGACCACAGCACCGCAUGGUGCAGGGGUAAAAACUCCGGUGGUACAGGAUGGACCCGCGUCUGAUUAGCUGGUUGGUGAGGUAACGGCUCACCAAGGCGACGAUCAGUAGCCGGCUUGAGAGAGUGAACGGCCACAUUGGGACUGAGACACGGCCCAAACUCCUACGGGAGGCAGCAGUGGGGAAUAUUGCACAAUGGGGGAAACCCUGAUGCAGCGACGCCGCGUGAGUGAAGAAGUAUCUCGGUAUAUAAAGCUCUAUCAGCAGGGAAGAAAAUGACGGUACCUGACUAAGAAGCCCCGGCUAACUACGUGCCAGCAGCCGCGGUAAUACGUAGGGGGCAAGCGUUAUCCGGAAUUACUGGGUGUAAAGGGUGCGUAGGUGGUAUGGCAAGUCAGAAGUGAAAACCCAGGGCUUAACUCUGGGACUGCUUUUGAAACUGUCAGACUAGAGUGCAGGAGAGGUAAGCGGAAUUCCUAGUGUAGCGGUGAAAUGCGUAGAUAUUAGGAGGAACAUCAGUGGCGAAGGCGGCUUACUGGACUGAAACUGACACUGAGGCACGAAAGCGUGGGGAGCAAACAGGAUUAGAUACCCUGGUAGUCCACGCCGUAAACGAU